This 276-nucleotide long non-coding RNA is filed under the name Capsicum annuum. RNAcentral describes it as "long non-coding RNA (CANN_LNC020065)". The record is from RNAcentral. Lineage: Eukaryota; Viridiplantae; Streptophyta; Magnoliopsida; Solanales; Solanaceae.
UCAAAGCUCAAGGGCCAAAAAUUAGGGGUGUUUCACCACCACUGGUGAUGAAGGUUAACAACGAGUCGUAAGGUCAGACUAUGACUUAUCUUGACACUCGUUCUGAGCAAAUGAAGAAAACUUGUAAAACAUUAAAGAUGAGCAUAGGACCCAACGAGUUAGCCUAUGAUUCGUAUAGAGAUAUGAUGGCCCAUCACCGUCCAUAGAAAAUCCAGGCGAUGAUUAAGCUAGAAGGCUAACAAUGAGUCGUUGUCAGUCCAAAUGACUCAUUGCCAG